AAGUCGUAACAAGGUUUCCGUAGGUGAACCUGCGGAAGGAUCAUUGCAGAGAUAGGUGGGGGGGGGAAUGACCAUUGCAGUGUCCGAGGACACCAUCCUUUGUUGGGCAUGAUUCCAUCCCUUGGAUCAGUCAUGAUCCCAACAGAGGCUUCCUACAACGACCAUGAUGCAUGACGUGAUCUUUAUUGAAUGGAUGACAACUUUUAACAAUGGAUCUCUUGGCUCUUGC
Molecule: unclassified non-coding RNA, 229 nt
Filed under: fungal sp.
Lineage: Eukaryota; Fungi
Description: partial internal transcribed spacer region
Rfam family: Eukaryotic small subunit ribosomal RNA (bases 1-46)
Source: RNAcentral